GACGAACGCUGGCGGCGUGCUUAACACAUGCGAGUCGAACGGAAAGGCCCUGCUUUUGUGGGGUGCUCGAGUGGCGAACGGGUGAGUAACACGUGAGUAACCUGCCCUUGACUUUGGGAUAACUUCAGGAAACUGGGGCUAAUACCGGAUAGGAGCUCCUGCUGCAUGGUGGGGGUUGGAAAGUUUCGGCGGUUGGGGACGGACUCGCGGCUUAUCAGCUUGUUGGUGGGGUAGUGGCUUACCAAGGCUUUGACGGGUAGCCGGCCUGAGAGGGUGACCGGCCACAUUGGGACUGAGAUACGGCCCAGACUCCUACGGGAGGCAGCAGUGGGGAAUAUUGCACAAUGGGCGGAAGCCUGAUGCAGCAACGCCGCGUGCGGGAUGACGGCCUUCGGGUUGUAAACCGCUUUCGCCUGUGACGAAGCGUGAGUGACGGUAAUGGGUAAAGAAGCACCGGCUAACUACGUG
This 468-nucleotide ribosomal RNA is filed under the name uncultured bacterium. Its description in RNAcentral is "partial 16S ribosomal RNA". It matches the Rfam family "Bacterial small subunit ribosomal RNA", at positions 28 to 507 of the family's 1533-position model. The record is from RNAcentral.